UUCAUGUAAGCACUCAUGAAGCACUAAAUUAUUACUAUUAAAAAACUCUAUCAGUAACACAAUUAUUUCUCCUGCUAAAGACAGGAAGCAAGAAGGGAAGCUUUGAAAUGAAAACUUCUAAUCAAGUUGAGACAAUUGAACCAACGAUUUUGAAGCAUUCAAGACACAAUUUUAGAAUUAGAAAAAACAUGAAACACCAACAUAGAGUUGUCUUCC
Molecule: long non-coding RNA, 216 nt
Filed under: Lathyrus oleraceus (garden pea)
Lineage: Eukaryota; Viridiplantae; Streptophyta; Magnoliopsida; Fabales; Fabaceae
Description: Pisum sativum (pea) long non-coding RNA (PSAT_LNC012675)
Source: RNAcentral